RNAcentral lists this ribosomal RNA (611 nucleotides) under uncultured bacterium. RNAcentral describes it as "bacterial SSU rRNA". It matches the Rfam family "Bacterial small subunit ribosomal RNA", at positions 338 to 946 of the family's 1533-position model. The record is from RNAcentral.
CCUACGGGAGGCAGCAGUGGGGAAUUUUGGACAAUGGGGGAAACCCUGAUCCAGCAAUGCCGCGUGUGUGAAGAAGGCCUUCGGGUUGUAAAGCACUUUUAUUCGGAGAGAAAUCCCUUGGGCUAAUACCCUGAGGGUCUGACGGUACCGGAUGAAUAAGCGCCGGCUAACUACGUGCCAGCAGCCGCGGUAAUACGUAGGGCGCGAGCGUUAAUCGGAAUUACUGGGCGUAAAGCGUGCGCAGGCGGUUUUGUAAGACAGAUGUGAAAGCCCCGGGCUCAACCUGGGAAUUGCAUUUGUGACUGCAAGGCUAGAGUGUGUCAGAGGGAGGUGGAAUUCCGCGUGUAGCAGUGAAAUGCGUAGAGAUGCGGAGGAACACCGAUGGCGAAGGCAGCCUCCUGAGAUAACACUGACGCUCAUGCACGAAAGCGUGGGGAGCAAACAGGAUUAGAUACCCUGGUAGUCCACGCCCUAAACGAUGUCAACUAGUUGUCGGGAAUUAAAUUCUUGGUAACGCAGCUAACGCGUGAAGUUGACCGCCUGGGGAGUCGGCCGCAGGUUAAACUUAAAUGAAUUGACGGNNGNGAGNGCGAGACGACGACGAGGAGAGG